RNAcentral lists this long non-coding RNA (482 nucleotides) under Marmota monax (woodchuck). Lineage: Eukaryota; Metazoa; Chordata; Mammalia; Rodentia; Sciuridae. The record is from RNAcentral.
AUAUAAAGGUUCCUCAAAAAAUUAAAAAUUGAGAUAUCACAGAGCAAUCCCACUUCUGGACAUUUAUGAAAAGAAUUGAUAUCAGGACCUCAAAGAGAUAUUAGCACUCUCAUGUUCACAACAGCACUAUUCACAAUAGCCAAGAUGUGGAAAGAGCCUAAAUGUCCAUUGGCAGAUGAAUGGAUAUAGAAAAUGUGGUUGGUGUGUGUGUGUGUGUGUGUGUGUGUGUGUGUGUGUGUGUGUGUGAUGAAAUGUUAUUCAGCCUUAAAAUCCUACCAUCUGCAACAGAGUGAAUGAAACUUGAAGAAUUAUGUUAAAUGAAAAACUGAAUACUGUGUGAUAACACAAGGAAGCAGAGAGUAGAACAAUGGUGACCAAAGGCUGGGAGAGGCAGGAAGGGGGUUAUUCAACAGCUGUAAACUUUUAGUUAUGCAAGAUCAAUAAAUUCUAGAAGUCCUAUAGCUAACUAUACUGUAUUAUAC